GACGAACGCUGGCGGCGUGCUUAACACAUGCAAGUCGAACGGUAAGGCCCUUCGGGGUACACGAGUGGCGAACGGGUGAGUAACACGUGGGUGAUCUGCCCUGCACUUCGGGAUAAGCCUGGGAAACUGGGUCUAAUACCGGAUAGGACUCCGGACUGCAUGGUCUGGGGUGGAAAGCUUUUGCGGUGUGGGAUGGGCCCGCGGCCUAUCAGCUUGUUGGUGGGGUGAUGGCCUACCAAGGCGACGACGGGUAGCCGGCCUGUGAGGGUGACCGGCGACGAUGGGAUGGAGAUGCGGCCCAGGCUGCUACGGGAGGCAGCAGUGGUGAAUAUCGCACACUGGGCGGAAGCCUGAUGCAGCGACGCCGCGUGAGGGAUGACGGCCUUCGGGUUGGAAACCUCUUUCAGCAGCGACGAAGCGAAAGUGACGGUAGGUGCAGAAGAAGGACCGGCCAACUACGUGCCAGCCGCCGCCGUAA
RNAcentral lists this ribosomal RNA (478 nucleotides) under uncultured bacterium. Its description in RNAcentral is "partial 16S ribosomal RNA". It matches the Rfam family "Bacterial small subunit ribosomal RNA", at positions 28 to 523 of the family's 1533-position model. The record is from RNAcentral.